Molecule: ribosomal RNA, 857 nt
Filed under: uncultured bacterium
Lineage: Bacteria
Description: bacterial SSU rRNA
Rfam family: Bacterial small subunit ribosomal RNA
Source: RNAcentral
GAANUCCCCGGGCUCAACCUGGGAACUGCGUUNUGAACUGGGUGACUAGAGUGUNUCAGAGGGAGGUAGAAUUCCACGUGUAGCAGUGAAAUGCGUAGAGAUGUGGAGGAAUACCGAUGGCGAAGGCAGCNUCCUGGGAUAACACUGACGUUCAUGCCCGAAAGCGUGGGUAGCAAACAGGAUUAGAUACCCUGGUAGUCCACGCCCUAAACGAUGUCGAUUAGCUGUUGGGCAGCAUGACUGCUUAGUAGCGAAGCUAACGCGUGAAAUCGACCGCCUGGGGAGUACGGUCGCAAGAUUAAAACUCAAAGGAAUUGACGGGGACCCGCACAAGCGGUGGAUGAUGUGGAUUAAUACGAUGCAACGCGAAGAACCUUACCUGGUCUUGACAUGUACGGAACCCUCCAGAGACGGAGGAGUGCCUUCGGGAGCCGUAACACAGGUGCUGCAUGGCUGUCGUCAGCUCGUGUCGUGAGAUGUUGGGUUAAGUCCCGCAACGAGCGCAACCCUUGUCAUCAGUUGCCAUCAUUAAGUUGGGCACUCUAAUGAGACUGCCGGUGACAAGCCGGAGGAAGGUGGGGAUGACGUCAAGUCCUCAUGGCCCUUAUGACCAGGGCUUCACACGUCAUACAAUGGUCGGUACAGAGGGUAGCCAAGCCGCGAGGCGGAGCCAAUCUCACAAAACCGAUCGUAGUCCGGAUUGCACUCUGCAACUCGAGUGCAUGAAGUCGGAAUCGCUAGUAAUCGCAGGUCAGCAUACUGCGGUGAAUACGUUCCCGGGCCUUGUACACACCGCCCGUCACACCACGAGAGUUUGUAACACCCGAAGUCGGUGAGGUAACCGUAAGGAGCCANCC